This is a non-coding RNA of Odocoileus virginianus texanus, 593 nucleotides long. NCBI's taxonomy places the organism in Eukaryota, Metazoa, Chordata, Mammalia, Artiodactyla, Cervidae. The record is from RefSeq and is a predicted model, not a curated record.
ACAUCCUGACCACUCGGGGUACUCAGGGGCCAGCUUGCCUGCCAAUGGACCAGAUCCAGCAGCCACAACUGGGACCCUUUUGUCUCUGAUCUCCUCCUGACGUGAACAACUGACCAGAGUGCCCCAAUUGAUGAAGAAAACGAGUUGCAAGACUGGAUGAAAUAACCUGUCCACUAUCAAAUACUCAUAUUACUUGAGUCAGUUUGGGCUGCUAUAAGGAGUGGCAACUGGAGAGGAGAUACCCCACAUCCAAGGUCAGGAGCGGAGGCUGAGAGGAGAUAUCCAACGUCCAAAGUAAGGAGCAAUGGCUGUGCUUUGCUGGAGCAGCUGUGAAGCGAUAUCCCUAGUUCAAGAACUCAACUACAAGUUAAACAACACCCAGUUGGUCUAGAUUCUGUUCAGCGAGAGAAGUCUACUCACAAGCUUGAUGACAUGAGACCAUCAACUGCUAGAAAAGUUUUUAAAACUUGUAACCUUUGUACUUACUGCUUUCUGGUAACAAAUAUCUUGCAGAGCAAACCUGUCUGUAGACCUCACGCUGUGUUGCACAGUUCUAGAAAAUAUUGCUAACACCUAAUUUAUCAUCUGCUUUG